UCGCAAUUGACAUGUCGUCUGUCUUGUUUUCGAUAGCCGACAUCAAGAAUUGAAGAAUUAAAAAAAAAAAAGAAAAAGAAACAAAAAACUAAAUUACAACAUGCGAUCAAAAUCAAAAGCAAGAAAACUCGAGAACGGUUUGAUGGAUUUAUUACAACUUUAUGGAGACAGAGAAACGACGAGUGUUAUGUCGUAUAUACUUGAGGAAUCAUGAAAAUGAAAGUUUGGAUCAUCUUAUGCAACGGCUGUAGAGCAGCUGUCAGAAGCAAAUAUCUCCCACCACCCUUUAUUGUCUGCUUAAUCCCGACUAUCAUUUGGUCCUACAGUGGUUGGCCAAGUCAAAAGUGUUUAGAAGUUUUAAAAUGAGUAGAAAUAAAAGUGCAUGUUUAGGUACAGGUUAACUUGA
This is a long non-coding RNA of Gigantopelta aegis, 406 nucleotides long. RefSeq lists it as uncharacterized. The transcript has 2 exons. NCBI's taxonomy places the organism in Eukaryota, Metazoa, Mollusca, Gastropoda, Neomphalida, Peltospiridae. The record is from RefSeq and is a predicted model, not a curated record.